CACGUAGGGUGCGAGCGUUGUCCGGAAUCAUUGGGCGUAAAGAGCGCGUAGGCGGCCCUGUAAGUCCGCUGUGAAAGUCAAGGGCUCAACCCUUGGAUGCCGGUGGAUACUGCAGGGCUAGAGUCCGGAAGAGGCGAGUGGAAUUCCUGGUGUAGCGGUGAAAUGCGCAGAUAUCAGGAGGAACACCGAUGGCGAAGGCAGCUCGCUGGGACGGUACUGACGCUGAGGCGCGAAAGCGUGGGGAGCGAACAGG
Molecule: ribosomal RNA, 253 nt
Filed under: uncultured bacterium
Lineage: Bacteria
Description: partial 16S ribosomal RNA
Rfam family: Bacterial small subunit ribosomal RNA
Source: RNAcentral